CAGCCGCCGCGGUAAUACGUAGGGUGCAAGCGUUAAUCGGAAUUACUGGGCGUAAAGCGUGCGCAGGCGGUUAUAUAAGUCAGAUGUGAAAUCCCCGGGCUCAACCUGGGAACUGCAUUUGAGACUGUAUGGCUAGAGUGUGUCAGAGGGGGGUAGAAUUCCACGUGUAGCAGUGAAAUGCGUAGAUAUGUGGAGGAAUACCGAUGGCGAAGGCAGCCCCCUGGGAUAACACUGACACUCAUGCACGAAAGCGUGGGGAGCAAACAGGAUUAGAUACCCGCGUAGUCCCUGUCUCUUAUAC
This 301-nucleotide ribosomal RNA is filed under the name uncultured bacterium. Its description in RNAcentral is "partial 16S ribosomal RNA". It matches the Rfam family "Bacterial small subunit ribosomal RNA", at positions 509 to 807 of the family's 1533-position model. The record is from RNAcentral.